RNAcentral lists this ribosomal RNA (406 nucleotides) under uncultured bacterium. RNAcentral describes it as "partial 16S ribosomal RNA". It matches the Rfam family "Bacterial small subunit ribosomal RNA", at positions 360 to 773 of the family's 1533-position model. The record is from RNAcentral.
AAUAUUGCGCAAUGGAGUGAACUCUGACGCAGCGACGCCGCGUGGGCGAUGAAGGUUUUCGGAUCGUAAAGCUCUGCCCUGGGGGAAGAAGGUCUUCGGACUUUACCGUAUCUAAAGAGGAAGCCCCGGCCAACUACGUGCCACGAGCUGCGGUGAUACGUAGUGGGCAAGCGUUGUCCGGAAUUAUUGGGCGUAAAGGGUGCGUAGGCGGCCUUUUAAGUCAGGUGUGAAAGACCACGGCUUAACCGUUGGAUUGAAUUUGAAACUGGAAGGCUUGAGUAUAGGAGAGGGUAGUGGAAUUCCCAGUGUAGCGGUGGAAUGCGUAGAUAUUGAGAGGAACACCAGUGGCGAAGGCGACUACCUGGACGAAAACUGACGCUGAGGCACGAAAGCUAGGGGAGCAAAC